This 442-nucleotide ribosomal RNA is filed under the name uncultured bacterium. Its description in RNAcentral is "bacterial SSU rRNA". It matches the Rfam family "Bacterial small subunit ribosomal RNA", at positions 958 to 1400 of the family's 1533-position model. The record is from RNAcentral.
AACGCGAAGAACCUUACCUACCCUUGACAUCCUUCGAAGGCUGCAGAGAUGCGGCUGUGCCGAAAGGAGCGAAGAGACAGGUGCUGCAUGGCUGUCGUCAGCUCGUGUCGUGAGAUGUUGGGUUAAGUCCCGUAACGAGCGCAACCCUUGUCCUUAGUUGCCAGCACGUAAAGGUGGGAACUCUAAGGAGACUGCCGGUGAUAAACCGGAGGAAGGUGGGGAUGAGGUCAAGUCAUCAUGGCCUUUAUGGGUAGGGCAACACACGUGCUACAAUGGUUGUUACAAAGGGAAGCGAAGCUGCGAGGCGGAGCAAAUCUCAAAAAGGCAAUCGUAGUCCGGAUUGGAGUCUGCAACUCGACUCCAUGAAGUUGGAAUCGCUAGUAAUCGCGGAUCAGAACGCCGCGGUGAAUACGUUCCCGGGCCUUGUACACACCGUAGAGAC